This 545-nucleotide ribosomal RNA is filed under the name Filobasidium magnum. Its description in RNAcentral is "partial large subunit ribosomal RNA". It matches the Rfam family "Eukaryotic large subunit ribosomal RNA", at positions 93 to 624 of the family's 3401-position model. The record is from RNAcentral. Lineage: Eukaryota; Fungi; Basidiomycota; Tremellomycetes; Filobasidiales; Filobasidiaceae.
GUGAAGCGGGAAGAGCUCAAAUUUGAAAUCUGGUGGCCUCAGGUCAUCCGAGUUGUAAUCUAUAGAAGUGUUUUCCGUGCUGGCUCAUGUACAAGUCCCUUGGAACAGGGCGUCAUAGAGGGUGAGAAUCCCGUCCUUGACAUGAACUACCAGUGCUCUGUGAUACAUUUUCAACGAGUCGAGUUGUUUGGGAAUGCAGCUCAAAAUGGGUGGUAAAUUCCAUCUAAAGCUAAAUAUUGGCGAGAGACCGAUAGCGAACAAGUACCGUGAGGGAAAGAUGAAAAGCACUUUGGAAAGAGAGUUAAACAGUAUGUGAAAUUGUUGAAAGGGAAACGAUUGAAGUCAGUCGUGCUCUUUGGAUUCAGCCGGUUCUGCCGGUGUACUUCCUUUGAGUGGGGUCAACAUCAGUUUUGAUCGCUGGAUAAAGGCUGGAGGAACGUAGUACCCUCGGGUAAACUUAUAGCCUCCUGUCACAUACAGUGGUUGGGACUGAGGAACGCAGCACGCCUUUAUGGCCGGGAUUCGUCCACGUACGUGCUUAGGAU